UUUCCGUAGGUGAACCUGCGGAAGGAUCAUUAUUGGAUUUUGAAACUUCAGGCUGCUGCUGGCUCUCCUCGGAGGGCAUGUGCACGCUUGUUGUCCAUUAUUUCUCCCACUGUGCACAAAUUGUUGACCUUUCAGUAGGCCUAUGUUGUUUUUCACAAUCUCUGAAUGUAAUAGAAUGGUUUUGAAUCUUGGGAAAUACAAUACAACUUUCAGCAACGGAUCUCUUGGCUCUC
This 233-nucleotide unclassified non-coding RNA is filed under the name plant metagenome. RNAcentral describes it as "partial contains small subunit ribosomal RNA, internal transcribed spacer 1, and 5.8S ribosomal RNA". The record is from RNAcentral.